Molecule: long non-coding RNA, 611 nt
Filed under: Triticum aestivum (bread wheat)
Lineage: Eukaryota; Viridiplantae; Streptophyta; Magnoliopsida; Poales; Poaceae
Description: long non-coding RNA (TAES_LNC021295)
Rfam family: MIR1120/MIR1122 microRNA precursor family (bases 412-498)
Source: RNAcentral
UGAAGCUGAAAAGUUUGUAGAGUUGUUCCUGUGCUACCGUUGUCACAGUUUCGCAGGAUUUUGCCGUUGGCGUCAAACGCUGGAUCUGACGUUAUGUGUAGCUGAAUACGACGUUACGCGUAUGGAUAAAUGACCAUACCUGACAAGCUAGGGUAACUGGGUUGGAGAAACCAGAAUGAGAAAUUGCCGAUCGGUGUUUCUACUUUUCUCAACAAAAGCUCGUGUAUCUCAGCGUGCCCAGGGCCUUUUGUGCACACAGUUAACGUACAGUAUAUAUGCAAUAAUUCUGUAAAGUUACGGCUCGGCAUGCAGAAUUGCUAUGUUCUGUCCUGAUUCUGUCGCUCAACUCGACUUGUAAAUUCAGUUUGUUGGACAUAAACACAAGCAAGUAGUAUAAUAUAGUACAACCAAGUACUCCCUCCGUAAACUAAUAUAAGAGCAUUUAGAUCAUUACUUUAGUGAUCUAAACGCUCUUAUAUUAGUUUACAGAGGGAGUACUACAUUACUAAUGCUUCUCUAAAUAAACUUCGUCAUAAGGAAUCUUUCAUAAUACAUGAUUCUUUUGAAGAAAAGGCAGGCACUCUGCCAUUCAGUUUGAUGAAAAAAAAACA